Long non-coding RNA from Physeter macrocephalus (sperm whale), 306 nucleotides. RefSeq lists it as uncharacterized. Lineage: Eukaryota; Metazoa; Chordata; Mammalia; Artiodactyla; Physeteridae. The transcript has 3 exons. The record is from RefSeq and is a predicted model, not a curated record.
UUGACUUGGAUCUCUCCCUCCUCCCAGGAAGGCCCUAGUCCCGAGGAGAGACAUCAGGUGGUGCACUCGCCCUCUCCACCCCGCCCCCCUCCACCACCAUGACAGACUGGAAACCAGAGGCCACUGCAGGUCACCCUGCUCAUGUGGCCAGAUAUGAGCACAGUCUGGAACUUCAGACACCCUCCCCCCUUCCAGGAAACUGACCCAAGGAGGGGCCUGGGCAUAUAUAGGGAGCCACUGUGGGAGGGCCUGGCCAGAGAGGCUUCAGGCAGAGAAGGCAAGACAAUGGCUUCUGAGGCAGCAGCA